UACAGAGGUCCCAAGCGUUGUUCGGAUUCACUGGGCGUAAAGGGUGCGUAGGUGGUCAGGUAAGUCUGAUGUGAAAUCUCUGAGCUCAACUCAGAAAUGGCAUUGGAUACUAUUUGGCUAGAGGGUCGGAGGGGGGACUGGAAUUCUCGGUGUAGCAGUGAAAUGCGUAGAUAUCGAGAGGAACACCAGUGGCGAAGGCGGCUCUCUGGAACGCAACUGACGCUGAGACGCGAAAGCGUGGGGAGCAAACAGG
This 253-nucleotide ribosomal RNA is filed under the name uncultured bacterium. RNAcentral describes it as "partial 16S ribosomal RNA". It matches the Rfam family "Bacterial small subunit ribosomal RNA", at positions 524 to 776 of the family's 1533-position model. The record is from RNAcentral.